UUCUCGUGGAUGCUAGUCAGAUUCGUUUGCACAGAGCCACGAUGGGAACUCCCUCUAUCCCAUUCUUGAGUGUGAUCCAGCUCUGAUCCUUUUGGGGCCGUGUCCACCUCAACAUUUUGGACCACAGCAUCACACAGAACAGUAAAUUCAGUUAAACAAUGAAUUUGAGGUAGUUUAUUAGCUUGUAAGAACUAGAAGCAGAAUAACUUUGAUUUCCUAUUUCCUCUAUAUAUCAUAAGCACAGCUUGAUUCAGGAGAGACCUCAGACUAAUGAAUGAUGGUGUGCUAAGAAGAAGGGAGGACAGGCCAGCUAGCACCCCAUGCAGAAAUCCGAUGUUUUGCAACUGUAACCUCAUUACAGACUUGUCUGGGGUUUGGCACAAGUGAAAGCCAAGAAUGGGACAUUUGAAACUAUUCCUAAUGAUCAGCAAGGGAGUUCAAAUGUGAAAAAUAGCUGCAUUGCUUGGAAAUCUUGAGGUCUUUCCUCUUCCAAUAUGAUGUAAGUAGUGUAUUGUUUUUUCAGCUGAAAGACAAUUUACAAAAAUGACUUACCAGCUAUUGAUAAAACAGAUUAUCUACUUGAUAAAAAAAUUUCCACAUCCCAUGUAGUUGGGUUUCAAAGAUAAAAGAAAAUCGGAUUUGUAUCAUCAAUUUCUAUUAAUGUGACAGUGUGACUUUGUGUUCUUUUAACACGUCUUACAAAUUUUGAUGUUAUAAUUUAUACUAGCUCAACUACCAAUAAAGAUUGUAAAUAUCCACUGCUAUAUACUGCCUUUUAGGUUGAUGUAGACUCAUAAGAUACAAAGGCAGUUCAUCAUUAUUUUAUCAUUAGUUAUCCUGUCAUUACCUACAAGGUCUCUUAAGUCUUAGAUAAUCAAAGUAAAUGUCACAGCGUAUGGCUGCCAUGGAGCCCAUGACUUGUCAUGUACUGCUGAGAAACCAUGUUCAAAGUUUGUAAUACAUUUCCCGAAGAUCACGGUACAUUUUAGAUAAUUUUUUUUUUUUUUCCGGCCACACUUGGCAGCAUGCAGUACUUCUCAGGCCAGGAAUUGAACCCGGGCCACAUCAGUGAUAAUGGCAGAUCCUUAACCCACUGAGCCACCAGGGAACUCCUAGAGGUAUUUCUUAGUCUUUCAGAAAGACUCUGAUUCCUGAGUGACAGUUAACCUGCUCAAUCCCAUUUGAAAAGACCCAGAUGUUUUGCCGAAGGUCCUACAAAGGAUAAUUGUGUGAUCAAACCCUGAGCUAGUGCCAUUGCUGCAGUAUGUGGUCUCUUGUUCUGUACUAGUGUCUUCCACCAGUGCUGAGAAGUGCCCUUUCCAUCUGUCACUUACCUAUGCCCAGAGGGCCUCCUGCUGCAUCUCAGCUGUGCAUCCAAAGCUAAAUGAUUGAUCAAUUCUAGAGACCCAUAAACCAUUAGAAGUUAGGGAUCAGAUUAAAGCAGAUUAUUUCUCUUCUGUUGCAGAAAUGACUUUGGAGGAAAAAAUCAUGUCAUCGUUUGUAGUUGUUACAAAUAUUUUUUAAAUUUAAAAUUCACUUAGAACUUUGUUUCCUUGUAAUUAGGAAAUUGUUGUAGAUGAAUAUAAAUGUAAUUUAUGUUACAUUAGGUAGUAAUGAAGUGACUCACUUUACUGUGAAACAGUAUUUUAUGAAUCAGAAACAAGAUGGCUUAAUUUGGAUGAAGGGACUCAGUUGAAGCUGAGAAACUCGGUUACGUGCCGAGUAGACUGACCCUUUGUGACUGACGCAGAGGUAAUCCAGCUGCAGAUAUUUCCUAUUUUAUCUGGCAAACAGAGUCAUAUUUUUCCUGCUGCUUAGUCUUGGGCUUUUCUUCCUCUGAUAGUUUGGGGUCAGGUCACUGCUCAGUUUUCUUUACUGAAAAAGGACACUUGUAGGGCAUGGACUUACAGUACAUGACCAUUUUAUGUUUCUCUGGAGACUUUCUAGGUUUUCCCUUUCUUAUGUCCGUCCACUUAACCCGUUAGUGAAGUAUACGCGUGCCCAAGUCAUGGCCUCAGCCUUCACCAAGUUGCUUUUGGGUGUUGAUUUUUGAGUUCUCAGGUUGCUUGUUUUCCCUGACUUACCUGGAUAGAAAGAUAGCUUAAUAUCAUUGGAAAAUAUAGCCCAAUAUGGUGGCUGUAUUUCCCAGUAUCAUUUAAGAAGCCCAAUAGGAAUUUCCGUCGUGGCUCAGUGGUUAAUGAAUCCAACUAGGAACUGUGAGGUUUCGGGUUCGAUCCCUGGCCUUGCUCAGUGGGUUAAGGAUCCGGCAUUGCUGUGAGCUGUGGUGUAGGUUGCAGAUGCAGUUCGGAUCUGGUGUUGCUGUGGCUCUUGCGUAGGCCGGCAGCUGUGGCUCUGAUUAGACCCCUAGCCUGGGAACCUCCAUAUGUGGCAGGUGUGGCCCUAGAAAAGGCAAAAAGACAAAAAGGAAAAAAAAAAAGGCCCAACAAAUGAGUCUGGGCUACAUCAGUUUCCCAUCCAGGGUUUCACUGGAGAGGACCAUACCUCAUUUCUUCCUGGUUUAUUACUGGUGUUCUUAAGAAGUCAUUGUGAAUCCAUUGCUCAGUGAGCUCCUUGAGGAUGGACCCUCGGUCUUAUUUGCCUGAAUCUCCAACAGUAUUUGCUGAAAGAAUCAGCUUUCCACAGCCAUAGAUACCUGUGGCUCUUGGCCCUCAGCCAGCAACUUUGUCUGCCAGGUGGAUGACAGCAUCAGUGGUUCCCAGCUCCAAAUCUCUGGUAGAUAUCAUCCUCUAAUUCCUGCCAGUAUUGCCUUUUCUCUUCCUUCCUCCUUCACCCUGCCCUGCCCCCCAACCCCCUUUCCGGCCAUGGUCUCACAGAGGUGGACCCGUGUGAUCAGCAGGGCAAGGCACCAGGACGGCAGACUUCCAGAGAGAGGUUGUGGGCUCCGAAUGUGGAGAGUGCUGUCAUCAGGAGUCUCUGAAGGGGUACACAUCCCCUGAGGCUGGGGACCGUCUGUGCACAUCUAGCCCAGAGCCUCCCAGCCCACUGAUGAAUCUCUGUGGGUGGGUUACAGCUGCACAUGGACAGAUACCCCCCCCUCACUUCUCAGGGCAGCUGAUGGGGACUGAGGUGGAGCUCCUGGGGUCCCCUUGCCCACUUCCCUAUGUCCAGCACAUUGUUUAUGUAUCAGGAGAGCACCUCAGAGCUGGUCCUACUGCUUUUAGCCAUCUCUCCUCCCCAUGGAGCCUGCCUGGCCUGAAGCCUUUCACGCAUUGGGCGCUCACUCAGUAUUCCUCAAAUGAAUUAAUCCAGUCCAAACCCUUUCUUACAGGCAGGAAAGCCUUUCUUUCACGGGUUGAGAGUUGCAGCGGCUCAGGGGCUGUGGCCUGCCUGUGCGGUGGUGGUGAAGGCAUGGCAGCCGGGCAUCCUCAGCAUCUGGUUCUUCGGGUCCUGGCUUCAGGUGGCUUCGCUCUCACUUGCAUCUGAUGUUUUCUAUGGAACAGGAAUGGACCUACUGCUGACAGAGCAACAGUGGAAGGAGACACAUUCUGGCGAGAGAGGGCAAGGCUCAGGACUUUGUGUAUCUAUUUCUAGAGUUGAAGCUCACACAGCCAGAAGACUGCCUCUGAUUUCCUACAAAACACCUCUUAAGAGUUCCAUCUUGGUCCCCACCGUGCUUUUUUGAAUAAUCUGGGCUGAAAGGAAAGAUUCCAGGGGUGCCCGUAUGAAUGGCAUUGCCAGCCUCGUGAGUGUAGCCAUGGGAAUUGCUCCCUGUCGGGCAGUGUGUGUGUUUGGCUCUGUGUAUUUACAAGGCGGGUUGAGUAACUGCAUGCGAAGGUGCCCGUGGCCUUCACACUCAGCUCUUUUUUCUUUCAGCUCUCAUUACAGGCAGCUAAGAGACUGAUACACUACCACCCUUUCAUCAUAUUUUAUGAUCCCUUAUAUUCAUGGUAUAUAUUUCCACUGAGGAUUAGAUGCUUGUGGAGGAGUAGAGGAACUUGGACAUUUUGUCUUAGAAUUAAAGUGGAAUUGAAAUAAAUAUCCUUGUAUCACAUAGCAACUAAUUAUUGUGUAUACUUUCGAAUAGAUGUUUCUUAUCCAGAGGUCUCUCAAAGUUUUUCUGUAAGGAAAACUUGCAGAUAAUCUGUAAAUUAAUUGCAGACAAAACAAUCAAUUUAUUGUAAAUACAUUGAUCUGGCAGAUACUUGUCUCUAGUAAAUAGAAAGUAAGACAUUGAGGUAGACGUGGUGGGCUGGAUGGAAAAUGUCAUGCUGUUGAUUUACCCUGAUUAAUCAGCCCUUGAGUACUGUUGGCUCAGAUAUACUAUCCACAGGACAUUUUGAAGUCCCAUGGUUAAAAUCACAGUGGACACGUCAGUAACAAGGUGGUCAUUUCUCUUCCAACUUCCUGUCAAACCCAAUGAAAGGCAUCACCCCCAUGUCCCCCUGCCCCCAACCCUGGCAGGUGUUUCUGGAGCAAGAGGCGUUGUAGGUUAGGGUCCCCCCCGCUGAUGUAAUACCAGUGGUGGGGACAUGGAAGUCCUGGGUCUCAAGCCUUCCUUUGUGGGGAGAGUGGGUCCCAGGAGGAAAGGGCCAGAUAACAGGCUUCAGUCUAUGACAAAUAAGGUGCACCAGGUGCCAAGGGCUGAGCCGGACAGAGCUGGUUGCAGAAACCUCCUUACCCUGGAGCCCCUUAAAGAAUGAGGAACACUGCCUUGCCUGGGCCUAGGAAGCAGCAAUUUUGCUGCAGCCUGUUGAGAACACACUCUUUUACUGGUUCCUGUUACAUCUGUCCUGCGUAUCUGCUUCAUAAUGCGUGACAAAUAUGUAUUGUCAUCCACCCCCAAGGGAUGUGUGUGUGUGUGUGUGUGUGUGUGUGUCUAAUAAUUUAAAGUAGGAAAGUAAAGGCUUAGGGAGUUCCCUGGUGGCCCGGUGUGUUAAGAAUCUGGUGGUGUCCUGCAACGGCUCAAUGCUGUGGUGCCAGUUUAGUCCUGACCCAGGAACUUCCUUGUGUUGAGGGCCC
Molecule: long non-coding RNA, 4980 nt
Filed under: Sus scrofa (pig)
Lineage: Eukaryota; Metazoa; Chordata; Mammalia; Artiodactyla; Suidae
Description: lncRNA (ENSSSCG00000058387.1)
Source: RNAcentral